GAGGGUAGAGCUCAGGGGUAGAGCACGUGCUUAGCACGCACGAGGUCCUGGGUUCGGCCCCCAGUACCUCCA
This 72-nucleotide transfer RNA is filed under the name Camelus bactrianus (Bactrian camel). It matches the Rfam family "tRNA". Rfam says of the family: Transfer RNA (tRNA) molecules are approximately 80 nucleotides in length. Their secondary structure includes four short double-helical elements and three loops (D, anti-codon, and T loops). Further hydrogen bonds mediate the characteristic L-shaped molecular structure. tRNAs have two regions of fundamental functional importance: the anti-codon, which is responsible for specific mRNA codon recognition, and the 3' end, to which the tRNAs corresponding amino acid is attached (by aminoacyl-tRNA synthetases). tRNAs cope with the degeneracy of the genetic code in two manners: having more than one tRNA (with a specific anti-codon) for a particular amino acid; and 'wobble' base-pairing, i.e. permitting non-standard base-pairing at the 3rd anti-codon position. The record is from Rfam by way of RNAcentral. RNAcentral also lists the same sequence under 2 other names. Lineage: Eukaryota; Metazoa; Chordata; Mammalia; Artiodactyla; Camelidae.